Molecule: long non-coding RNA, 973 nt
Filed under: Homo sapiens (human)
Lineage: Eukaryota; Metazoa; Chordata; Mammalia; Primates; Hominidae
Description: HSALNT0055650
Source: RNAcentral
AAUAAAUUUAUGGGGUAUAAGUACACUUUUGUUACUUGCAUAGAUUGCAUAGUGGUGAAAUCAACACUUUUAUAAAGAGUAUCCAUCACUCGAAUAACUUACAUUGUAUUCGUUAAAUAAUUUUUCAUCAUCCACUCCCUCACCCUUCUGAGUCUCCAUUGCCUAUCAUUCCACAUUCUACAUCUACAUGUAUACAUUAUUUAGCUUCCACUUAUAAGUAAGAACAGGUGAUAUUUGUCUAUCUGUGUUCGACUUGUUUCACUUAGAUAAUUACCUCCAGGUCCAUCCAUGAUUCUGCAAAGACAUGAUUUCAUUCUUUUCUACAGCUGAAGAGUAUUCCAUAGCGUGUGUGUAUAUAGAUAGAUAGAUAGAUAGAUAGAUAGAUAGAUAGAUAGAUACAUAGAUAGUCAUUGCCCCCUGGAGUUUCAAAUCCAACAGAAGAAAUAUAAUUCAGGGAAUUUCACAUUCUUGACUUUUUCCCCUGUGCAAUUGUCUCCUCAUGGAAUUUUGGCACACAUUUACUUAAAAACACACACACACACACACACACAUAGUAUUUGAGCAUAUCAGGGAAUAAAAUAUAUAACUUGUCUAGCAAAAUGAUAAGUGACAUAGUCAAAAUAUUGAUGAACUAACAGGCGAAUGGCAAAUGCCAAAGCCCUGAAAUCAAUUAGGCAGCAUCACUAAAUGUCAGCUACCAGAAUAAUUCCACCCCUUGUGGCCUGCCUGGUUUUCAUGAGGUUUGUGGUCUGCAGGAUUAUAAGGUUGGAUUUAGAGGCUGCCUUAUCAUUUUGACUGGAUUCCCCAUUUAAUGAAAAAGGCCUAGUCACAUUCAGGAAAUAUUAGCGAAUGGUUUUUAAGAUGAAGGAAUUAGCUUAAUUGGUUGAAUACACAUUAGACGGAGCAGUGUUUCUGAAAGUAUGGAUUCCAGGGGACAGCAUCCAGUAUUGUUUUGGUUUUGUUUUGUUUUUAA